GCAGGAAGUAGCCAGGAGACAGGACAUGAGAGAUCGAUUACAUUUCUGCUCGAGAGCCGACUUCCAGCUUAAGAUUCUUUGUCAUUAAGCUGUGUUUGACUGUAGAAGCUGAAUUGGCCAGGCUUCUCUUUUUGAUGGCGAGCUAAGGAAAAUAAUCACCUAGUCCAAGGAUCAAGUUUGGAAGAUUCCAGCCAAGAACUUCACCACCUGCUCUGUCUGGGCUGGUAGGAGGCUCUCGAGCCGACCCUUUACAAUUAUCACUUUACCUGCAGCACAUGGACUGUACUGCCAUCCUUUUUUUCCCCCCCAAGAACAACUAUCUGAACUGAGAUUUAAACAAGAUCCAGAGACACUGAAUAGUUAAAUGGAAUUGUAUAUAUGUAUAUAGCACUUGUGUUUUUCUCUUUAAAUUGCUUUCAUGUUGAAUGGCCAUUCAACUCAUUGUGUGUGUAUAUA
This is a long non-coding RNA of Nerophis ophidion (straightnose pipefish), 456 nucleotides long. RefSeq lists it as uncharacterized. The record is from RefSeq and is a predicted model, not a curated record. NCBI's taxonomy places the organism in Eukaryota, Metazoa, Chordata, Actinopteri, Syngnathiformes, Syngnathidae. The transcript is spliced from 3 exons.